GUUCCGUAUUAUGCAGUAUGUCAGCUACUUGGAUGACGGAAUUGAUGGCUUUGUGGUCAAGUUUGCGGAUGAUACAAAGGUAGUCUGUGGCAGUGCAGAGGCCUACAGUUGUGGUGUUCUCUAAACUGCGCUGUGGAUAUCCCUACCGGAAAGGAAUAGAUCCUGAAGAUCACGUGGACAACCAUCCCAAAUAGCAGUCUGUAACUUUCCCUUUGGACUUGAAGGCGAUUCAAUGUGGCAGAACCAGGGCGAGGGGGCAGGACCGUUGCUGAGAGCGAGGAAGACCCGAGGUCUGAUCAUUUUAAGCGCUGUACCGAAGGCUGAGUCAGGUGGUGAGGUUCAGGUACCAGAGCGUACCGAUUUGACUGAAGUUGAUGCUUGGACAGGGACUUAAGCACCGUGCUGAAUCGGAAAGGUCAGUUACACGCCGAGGUCUGGGCACCAGAGGGGUCAGGGUGACCUAGCCUGAUGCUCGGAUGGAGAUUUACGCA
Hypanus sabinus (Atlantic stingray) is the source of this 491-nucleotide long non-coding RNA. RefSeq lists it as uncharacterized. The transcript has 3 exons. NCBI's taxonomy places the organism in Eukaryota, Metazoa, Chordata, Chondrichthyes, Myliobatiformes, Dasyatidae. The record is from RefSeq and is a predicted model, not a curated record.